Molecule: ribosomal RNA, 451 nt
Filed under: uncultured bacterium
Lineage: Bacteria
Description: partial 16S ribosomal RNA
Rfam family: Bacterial small subunit ribosomal RNA
Source: RNAcentral
AACGAACGCUGGCGGCAGGCUUAACACAUGCAAGUCGAACGGUUGUAGCAAUACAGCAGUGGCAGACGGGUGAGUAACACGUGGGAACCUUCCUAGGGGUACGGAACAACUCAGGGAAACUUGAGCUAAUACCGUAUACGUCCGUGAGGAGAAAGAUUUAUCGCCCUUAGACGGGCCCGCGUAGGAUUAGCUAGUUGGUGGGGUAACGGCCUACCAAGGCGACGAUCCGUAGCUGAUCUUAGGGGAUGAUCAGCCACACUGGGACUGAGACACGGCCCAGACUCCUACGGGAGGCAGCAGUGGGGAAUCUUGGACAAUGGGCGCAAGCCUGAUCCAGCCAUGCCGCGUGAGUGAAGAAGGUCUUCGGAUUGUAAAGCUCUUUUGCCAGGGACGAUAAUGACGGUACCUGGAGGAUAAGCCCCGGCAAACUUCGUGCCAGCCGCCGCUGUAA